CCUACGGGAGGCAGCAGUGGGGAAUUUUGGACAAUGGGCGAAAGCCUGAUCCAGCAAUGCCGCGUGAGUGAAGAAGGCCUUCGGGUUGUAAAGCUCUUUUGUCAGGGAAGAAACGGUGAGAGCUAAUAUCUCUUGCUAAUGACGGUACCUGAAGAAUAAGCACCGGCUAACUACGUGCCAGCAGCCGCGGUAAUACGUAGGGUGCAAGCGUUAAUCGGAAUUACUGGGCGUAAAGCGUGCGCAGGCGGUUUUGUAAGUCUGAUGUGAAAUCCCCGGGCUCAACCUGGGAAUUGCAUUGGAGACUGCAAGGCUAGAAUCUGGCAGAGGGGGGUAGAAUUCCACGUGUAGCAGUGAAAUGCGUAGAUAUGUGGAGGAACACCGAUGGCGAAGGCAGCCCCCUGGGUCAAGAUUGACGCUCAUGCACGAAAGCGUGGGGAGCAAACAGGAUUAGAUACCCUGGUAGUCCACGCCCUAAACGAUGUCUACUAGUUGUCGGGUCUUAAUUGACUUGGUAACGCAGCUAACGCGUGAAGUAGACCGCCUGGGGAGUUACGGUUCGCAAAGAUUAAAACUUAAAUUGAAUUGACGGG
RNAcentral lists this ribosomal RNA (590 nucleotides) under uncultured bacterium. RNAcentral's name for it is "bacterial SSU rRNA". It matches the Rfam family "Bacterial small subunit ribosomal RNA", at positions 338 to 917 of the family's 1533-position model. The record is from RNAcentral.